Molecule: RNA transcript, 4340 nt
Organism: Impatiens glandulifera
Lineage: Eukaryota; Viridiplantae; Streptophyta; Magnoliopsida; Ericales; Balsaminaceae
Exons: 9
Source: RefSeq, a predicted model, not a curated record
CCCAAAACCUAGUACGGCUGGUUCUCUUUCUCUCUCUAACUCCUGUUUUGCAUGAUCAGACCAAUCUCCGUUCUCCUUUCUCUUACCUUCGUUACUUGCAGCGAGGACUAGUGUCGAUCUGUAUCUGGUCCUGCAGAGUCUUCGAUCUAUCGGUUUCGUUAAUCUUGUUUUUGUACCGGGAGUCAAUUUUCUGGAUGUUUCUUGGUGAUUAAGCUGAUCUGAGACCAGAAUGGGAUUUGAUUACGAGUGCAUAGUAGAUGUUAGUAAACUCGCAGGAGAGUAUUUCUGUCCAGUAUGUAGUCAACUUGUCUAUCCAGACGAAGCUCUUAAGACUCAGUGCUCGCAUCUGUUUUGCAAGCCAUGCUUAACUUACACUGUAUGCACGUCACAGGCCUGUCCAUACGAUGGGUUUCUGGUUACGGAAGCUGACUCGAAGCCACUUAAGGAGAGUGACAAAGCAUUAGCGGAAACUAUAGGUAAAAUACCUGUCACUUGUUUGUACAUCAGGAGUGGAUGCCCGUGGAAAGGUAAUCUAUCCGAUUGUUCUUCUCACUGUGGUAGCUGUGUCUUUGGAAGUUCCCCAGUUGUUUGUAAUAAAUGUGGGGUGCAGAUUGUGCAUAGGCAAGUCCAGGAGCAUGUUCAGAAUUGCCCAGGCAUCCAUUCUCAGGUUCAGCAGGCUGCCACUGUUGUAUCCACUGCUACUGUCCAAAGCCAGACAACAAAUGCAUCUGCUGCAACCAUUCAAGCUGCAGGUGGUCCUUCCAGUCAGGAUGUUAAUCAGCAGGCCAUUGCUACUAGUCAGGUGCAGGCAGUUACUAGUCAGGUGCAGGCAGUUACUAGCACAGCUCCACAAAAGCAAGGACAGUACUAUCAGCAACAAUACCAGCUGUACUAUCAGCAAUAUCCUGGGUAUGACCCUUAUCAGCAGCAGUAUCAACUUUACUAUGCAUAUCAACAGCCAACAAUCCAGCAGUUUCAGCAGCACCUGCCUGAUGGGCAAGGUCAGCAACCAGUUCAGGUUUAUCCCCAUCCUCAACAGGAGGCUCAGGCUCAGGCCCAGGCUCAGGCCCAAAUACCAACUCAACUGCAUCAACAGCCACAAAUCCAGCCCCACCAUCCACAGCCGCAACAGCUUCUACAUGCUCACGCUCCUCCUGUGACUGGGCAAUAUCAAAACCAGGCUGCAGUUAAUCCACCACAACAGUACCUUGCUGCUGGGCAACCCCCCUUUCAAAUGCAAGCACCAGUACAAGCUCAGUCACAUGGACCCUAUCCAGGGAAGCAGCAAAGGCCACAACAAUCCAUGCCCCAGUAUCAUCAUCAGCAGCAUCCUCUGGUUCAACAUCCACCCGCCCAGAUUCAGCCACCUUUCCAACAGCAGCAGCCUUUAUCACAACCGCAACCCCAAAUUCAGCCUCCUUUCCAGGCUGGCUCUCAGUAUGUGAAUACUGCACCACCUUUUCAUGCUGUUUCAGGUCAUCAGUUCUACGCACAGCCUCAGGCGCAUCAGCACAUGCAGGUAGCACCUCAGCAGGUGAAUCCCCAGAAUGCAUUGUUUCCUCAUCAUCCUCCAAACCCACAUCUUGAUCAGUUACAACAUCCUCCUGCAUUGUUUCCUCAUCAUCCUCCACAUCGUCCUGCAUUGCAGCCGCCGCACUCCAUUCAAUCUCAACAAACUUUCCAAGGGCAACCGUCCAUGCCUGUACAAAAUCAGUUAUAUCCACCUGCUCCUUUUGUGCAGCAGCAGAUGUACCCACCUCACUCUUUGCCUACUGCUCCUUACCAGUCUGUUACACCUCAAAAUAUGAUGCAGCAAUCUCAGAAUUACAACGCACGGCCUACUGUGCCAAAUCUUGGAGUUCAGCCUCAACCUGCUGCACAGUCACCUGCUGUGUCUGCUAGUUCUGGUCAGGACAGGCCAAUGCAGCCCUUCAUGAACCAGGCCCCUCUAAAUCAAAAUGAUACUCUUAGAAGGGACAAUCAACUGGUAAAGUCUGAGCAAAAAAUUGCACAAUCAGAUGAUGUCAUUUCAAAUUCGGGUCCUUCAGUUGAGACAAAAGUGAUUUCCAACCAAGGAACAUAUGGUUUAUCCAGUGAUGGAAGAUUCCAAAUUAACAGAGCUAUGGACACAAAUAAAGAUCCUAAAGCUAAAGGAAUAGGUACUCUAUUGCCUGAAAAUGGGAGUACUUUUCCAGAUCCUUCUAUUAAGAGCGUGGUUGCAAAGACGGUAGAUGGUGUAAUUGAACCUAAAGUGAAUAGUGUAGCUGUUGGUACUUCGUUUGGAGGGAAGACGGAAAAUAUGGUCAAGUCUGAGGUUUCUCGCAGUGAGUUCAAAGAUGGUUCAAAGACUGUUUCUCAAGAUCAGGAUCAAGGACAUGUAGGGGGAGAUGUCAAGAUCUUCCCUGCUCAUAAUGAGAAGCAGGGAAAGGCUUUUCCUAAUCCUACCAAUCAAAUUCCUGUAACAGAACAAGGAAGAGACCCAAGUUAUCCUUUUCAUGUCUCAAAUAUAGUCAAGUUUGAGGUUUCUCGCAGUGAGUUCAAAGAUGGUUCAAAGGCUGUUUCUCAAGAUCAGGAUCAAGGACGUGUAGGGGGAGAUGUCAAGAUCUUCCCUGCUAAUAAUGAGAAGCAGGGAAAGGCUUUUCCUAAUCCUACCAAUCAAAUUCCUGUAACAGAACAAGGAAGAGACCCAAGUUAUCCUUUUCAUGUCUCAAAUAUUGUCAAGUCUGAGGUUUCUCGCAGUGAGUUCAAAGAUCGUUCAAAGGCUGUUUCUAAAGAUCAGGAUCAAGGACAUGUAGGGGGAGAUGUCAAGAUCUUCCCUGCUCAUAAUGAGAAGCAGGGAAAGGCUUUCCCUAAUCCUACCAAUCAAAUUCCUGUAACAGAACAAGGAAGAGACCCAAGUUAUCCUGUUCAUGUCUCAAAUUCUGGUCAGCAUCAGAGGAAUCCUGGAAGUUCUUUGUUCCCCCUUGUGCAAUCUCAAAAUAAUACUAGGCCUCAAGGAUCAGAACAAAUGCAUCUGAAAGGAAUGCAGCUAGUCCCACCAGAGUGUUUUCCUGCUGAUCCUCCUCAUGGAAAUGAGUUGAGUGCCAUAGCCAUGGGAAAGAGAAGUCACAUAAGUCAGCCACAUCCAAAUCAUCCUGCUCGUCAUCAUGACCGAGUAUUCAGGCCUCCCCUUGCUCCAAGUGAUGUUCGUGAUAGAGUAAGGCCUCUUGGUUCUGAUGGUAAUACAGGGAGAUUGGAUCCUGCUUUUCUUGCACCCACUUUUGAAUUUUCACGUCAUCAUAUGGAUAGGCUGGCUCCGAUAAGCCCAGGUCGUGAAUAUCUUGAUUUCCAUUCCCAUAAUCCUCACCUUCAUCGUAACCAGUCAAGAUUGGAUGAUAUUAAUGGAUGGGAAUCACAUCCUUUUAAUGACGCAACAAGGGGCUUAAACUUCUCAUCAGAUCCUAUUCGCCAUAAAUUUAGUCAAAAUAGGUUCCCACAGAGAGGUGAAGUUGAUGUACCUGAGAACUUUCGAGGUAGUGAUUUAACUAGGCCUGAAAUGCUCCCUCCCCAUUUGAGGGAAGGCGGUUCUUUCGGUUCAGGGAAGUUUCAUGGCCAUUUUCCCUUGCCUGAACCUGGUUUUGGUUCUUAUGGUGAUCCACGCAUGGGUGAUUUUGCUGGAUCAGGAAAUUUGUAUCAUCGUCCGCUAGUUGGUGAGUCAUCAGGUGAAAAUCUAUUUGGUCAGCCUCGUAUUGGUGAAACUGGAUUCAGCAGCAACUACUCAUCUGCAGCUAGCUUGGAUUCAAUCGAGAGGCGGAGGCCUCCAGGCAUAUACUGUCGCAUUUGUGAUGUUGUCUGUGAAUCAUUGGAAGCAUUGGAAAUGCAUGCCCAGACCAAGGAUCACCAGAAGAUGUCUCUGAAUGUUGUUGCGAACAUUAAAAGAAAUGCAAGAAAGAGGAAAGCAACCAACCUUUCUUCACUUGAGCCAUAUAAGUCUAGACGAUCUGGUUAUGAAGCUCGACGAUCCAAGAAUUGAGGAUUUAUGCAGUGCUGUUGUGAAGGUUGUUUUAGUGGAGAUGUCUUUUGAACUUGUCCUUCGGCUGCAGGGAGUACUAAAGGGGACAGAUAUGAAGCAAAAGAUGAGGGAAAAUGGAACCAGGCUUUUUCUCUGCUGAUGACUGAACUAGCUUUUGCUGAAGAUUAGGUAAGAUUCUUCAAUCUUUGUUGGCUUCAUAUAUAGAAAGAAUAAUUAUAGUAUAAGAUUAUAAAGUUUAAUGUUUUCUUCUAUUUUUGUUCAGAUUCAGUUUGGUGUUUUGUAAACAUUCUACUCAUUAAUAAAAUGAAUAAUUAAUUGUAUUAAUGUA